Molecule: ribosomal RNA, 429 nt
Filed under: Bacteroidota bacterium
Lineage: Bacteria; Pseudomonadati; Bacteroidota
Description: Bacteroidetes bacterium partial 16S ribosomal RNA
Rfam family: Bacterial small subunit ribosomal RNA
Source: RNAcentral
UAGGGAAUCUUCCGCAAUGGACGCAAGUCUGACGGAGCAACGCCGCGUGAGUGAAGAAGGAUUUCGGUUCGUAAAACUCUGUUGUUAGAGAAGAACAGCGCAUAGAGAAACUGUUAUGCGUGUGACGGUAUCUAACCAGAAAGCCACGGCUAACUACGUGCCAGCAGCCGCGGUAAUACGUAGGUGGCAAGCGUUGUCCGGAUUUAUUGGGCGUAAAGCGAGCGCAGGCGGUCAAUUAAGUCUGAUGUGAAAGCCCCCGGCUCAACCGGGGAGGGUCAUUGGAAACUGGUUGACUUGAGUGCAGAAGAGGGGAGUGGAAUUCCAUGUGUAGCGGUGAAAUGCGUAGAUAUAUGGAGGAACACCAGUGGCGAAGGCGACUCUCUGGUCUGUAACUGACGCUGAGGCUCGAAAGCGUGGGUAGCAAACAGG